This 424-nucleotide ribosomal RNA is filed under the name Verrucomicrobiota bacterium. Its description in RNAcentral is "Verrucomicrobia bacterium partial 16S ribosomal RNA". It matches the Rfam family "Bacterial small subunit ribosomal RNA", at positions 355 to 776 of the family's 1533-position model. The record is from RNAcentral. Lineage: Bacteria; Pseudomonadati; Verrucomicrobiota.
UGAGGAAUAUUGGUCAAUGGGCGAGAGCCUGAACCAGCCAAGUAGCGUGCAGGAUGACGGCCCUAUGGGUUGUAAACUGCUUUUAUAUGGGGAUAAAGUGGGGAACGUGUUCCCUUUUGCAGGUACCAUAUGAAUAAGGACCGGCUAAUUCCGUGCCAGCAGUCGCGGUAAUACGGAAGGUUCGGGCGUUAUCCGGAUUUAUUGGGUUUAAAGGGAGCGUAGGCCGUUUGGUAAGCGUGUUGUGAAAUGUAGGAGCUCAACUUCUAGAUUGCAGCGCGAACUGUCAGACUUGAGUGCGCACAACGUAGGCGGAAUUCAUGGUGUAGCGGUGAAAUGCUUAGAUAUCAUGAAGAACUCCGAUUGCGAAGGCAGCUUACGGGAGCGCAACUGACGCUGAAGCUCGAAGGUGCGGGUAUCGAACAGG